CGCCAUUAAUUGUCUUGUUAAAUUAAAGGUAUUUUGUUGUGUUAGUCAUUGAAAUUUAAUUAUUAUUUUACAAGAAAUUAUAAUUUAAGUUUUCACAUUUUCCUUCAAAAAACAAAUAUAAGAUGAUGGAAGAUAAAUUUGUGAUAAUUUUAGUAAAACGCCUAAUCUUACGACUCGCUCGGUAUAAUGUGUUUUUGUGUAUGUAAAUGUAUAUGAUCUAUGGUUUUUAUCGUUUGCAAGACUGGUUAUCGUUUGUUUUGGAACAUUUUUAAAAUUUUCUAAUUUUUUAUAAGUAAGUAGUAUUUUAUUUUAUACCUAUUAUGUAAACAAAAUAAUUGCCCGUGGUAAAAGAUAAUAAAAGUAAUGUUUCCAUUAUUAUAAGAUUAAUACAAACAUUUCAGUGUAUGUAUUAUUCCAAGCUUUGGAUGUGAACCAACUGAUAUUAUUGCACAGAACAUUGUAAAAACAGUGAUGGUUUGUAACAAAUGAAUUAGGUGAAGCAUAUUCUAACGAUGGUUAGAUGUGUAUUUGAUAAAUGUAUCUAAUGCCCGUUUGCAUCGACAAAUUUAAGUGGAGCUUAGCUUAAGUGUUACUUAAAAUUCAUGUCAACAAUUAUUGAGACAAUGGUUGUCGUGGAUUUUAAGCUAAGUUCCGCUUAAAUUUGUCAGUGCAAAUGGGCAUAAGAAGUAUUAGAUCGCUGAUUAACAAUUUUUUGUAUCUUGUUAGUUUUUUCUUGUUCUCAAUAUUCUCACUUUUCGUUGUUUAGUAAUUUCUAUAGCAACACAGAAAAUUUAUGAUUCGCCAGGGAAACUACGUUAUUGUGGUAUGACGUGUGUUGGUGAUGUCCUCAAUUUUAGAAACAGUGGGUAAAGGGUAAAGUUGGGUGCAAUCUUCUAUAGUUUAAACAAUGUUUCUUUGUGAGGAUAUUUUAUACUUUGUUUCCAGUUUUUUUGAGGCGAGCAAAAUUUUGUAACCGUAUAAUCACAACUAACGGGUGAUCCAAAAUGAGUGGUGGUCGAGUCGCCUUUGGAAGUUAAAUUUAAGUACGAUUACCUAUACAAAUAAAAAUUCCAAAGGUAACUCGACAGCAAUUCAUUUUUGAUGGCAUAGUACAUGUGCGUAUAUUAUAAUAUGAAUCAACAACCCGCUACAUAUCAUUUACUUACUACCCGACAUCCAGUGAUCCAUUGAAUGUGACCUAGUGAAUAUCCAUUUUUUAGUAGUUAAUCCGAAGCCGAAUAGCUUCAGUAAAUAGCAUGUUUAAAAUGAUGGGUACUAGAUAUUAUAACACAAUCUCCAUUAUUUAGUAUUGGAAGCAUUUAUCUAGAUCCUGUAUUUAAACUAAGAAAAAUUCCUUUAUAGUUUUGUAUUUUAGUUUUAAAUAUUCUUCUUCUGAUAUUUUAAACGUAAUAUUUUAAUGUAUAGGGUGGUUCAAAUUUAUUUCAUUGGAAUCUUUUUAACUGUACAGAUUACAGGAUAGGUUAAAUGGGGACAAAGUUGAAUUUUUUCGUAAUUAAUAAAAACUGUGACUGAAAAAUUAAAAAUUUUAAUUUUGUAUUUUUUGGAACUUUUUUCGCAGAAUUUUUUAUUAAGAUUGACACUAAUAUAUUACGAAUGGUCCAGUUUCUUUGGUAUAUCAUACAUUCUUUGUGUCGUUAUUAAUUCGUAGUGUUAUUACGUUUUUGGAGUUGUGUACUUGUAAAAAGAAAUCCAAUAUAUAUGAUAUACUUAAUUAAAGGUUUUUUGGUAUAUGGUCUUCGUUUGGCAUACUGAGAUUGUAGUAUUAACUCAGUAAGUAAUGGAACACAUAUUGAGUGAUAGACUUUUUUUUCAAUUUUUUUUAUACUAAAUCAAAAUUUAGUUAGUAAUAUGUACCUAUAUGCAAUGUUUCUAAUUUUUUUUUUUAUUAGAUAUGACUACAUUUUUUGGUUUGGGUGCGAGUAUUUUGAGAAGAGUGUUAGUAGAAGGUCAGGGAGACUCUGCUAACCGAAUUCAUGGUAAGCUCGUCGUUGACUUGUGCAUUGGCGGGCAAACGGUUUCCCAAUUAAGAAAAAGAGUCGAACGCUCACGAAGUGAUGAAUCGGAAUGGUUUGUGCCUAGAAAUACGCCCCUGGUCGUUUUGAUAGGAACCAAAGAUAUUUUAAGAGGUGGCAGAGCUUCUAUUGCCUUUAAUAAUUUUAAACGGUUAUUAAGUACAUUGGAAAAGUGGUCGAGGAUAACUCCCAUCAUAUUGUGUACUCUUCCUCCAAUAAAGCAUGCAAGUCCUGAUGUUCGACAUCAGUUGCAUAAAUACAACACGUCGAUUAGAACAUUGUGUUCUAAUCGAUGUGAUGUAUUUAGGCUAUUGGACGUGUAUGCCUUAUUGGAUGCGGAGGAUUACGAGGGCCACUUUUUUGAACGUGACGGUGUUCAUCCAAAUAGAGAGGGGCUUUUGAGAAUUUAUGAUUCCAUAAGUUCCCUCUUUAAUUAAUCGGUCUUGCAUGUUCGAGUACAUGAUAACCGUUUAGGAUUAUUUUUGGCGAUGGAAGACUACCCUUUUUGAAAAUCAUUUGGUAAACAAAGCAGCUUUGAUUCAUUUGAAUGAUCGUUUUAUUUUUUUGAUUAAUUAAUUGUUUGAAUUGUCAUGAAUUUGCUUCUCAAAAUUAUGAAGAUUAUUUUUUCCUUAUUUAAGGUUUUCAAAUAAUGAAAUUUAUUCUCAUGAAGUGGCUUAUUAUUAUUCUUUUAAGUAGUAUAUGCAGAAUGUUCUUUGGUUUACAUUUAUACUUUCAUCAAUUAAAGGAACACUUUUACCUAAGAAUAUGGUAGCAAUACAUUUAAAUGUAUCCUUGCACAUUCGAGUACAUGGUAACCAUUUAGGAUUAUUUUUGGCGAUGGAAGACUACCCUUUUUGAAAAUCGUUUGGUAAAAAAAGGAGUUCUAAUUCAUUUGAAUGAUCGUUUUAUUUUUUUGAUUAAUUGAUUGUUUGAAUUGUCAUGAAUUUGUUUUUCAAAAUUAUUAAGAUUAUUUUUUUCUUAUUUAAAGUAAAUAGUGUAAUUGUUGAUUUCCUUUUAGUUGUAUCACUUUCAUCUAAGGUUAUAGUAGUAAUACAUUUGAAUACAUCGAUAAUGAAAUUGCUAUGCAUACUUAAAAUCAUUUUAUUAUUAGACCAAUACUUAACAUACCGACAUAAAAUAUAAAGCCAUUAACAAUUACAGUAACAAAGUAUGUUUUAAAUGUAAGUAAUAUAAUAAUGUUUGUUUGUGAUUGAUAAUUAUUCUUGUAAAUUUAUCAUUUUUAAACGAUGUUGAUUCUUCUUGGUAAUUUAAUAUUGAAAAGUUGGAUGUUGAUCAUAUAUGAUAUGAUU
Long non-coding RNA from Photinus pyralis (common eastern firefly), 3343 nucleotides. RefSeq lists it as uncharacterized. Lineage: Eukaryota; Metazoa; Arthropoda; Insecta; Coleoptera; Lampyridae. The record is from RefSeq and is a predicted model, not a curated record. The transcript is spliced from 5 exons.